RNAcentral lists this unclassified non-coding RNA (1482 nucleotides) under Melitaea cinxia (Glanville fritillary). Its description in RNAcentral is "misc RNA ENSMCXG00005020678.1". Lineage: Eukaryota; Metazoa; Arthropoda; Insecta; Lepidoptera; Nymphalidae. The record is from RNAcentral.
UUUCACGAUAAUUUUCAAAUUAAGGAAAUAUGAGUACUCUAAUCUCGCAACAAGCUUUUCUGUUAUAUAAAUUAUGUAAUGAUUUUAUAAGUUACAAUUGCUUUUACACGAUUUAUUUCCCCUAUUUGUCAGUUUUUGGUCUUCGUCGAGUGAGAUAUUUGUAUCUUAUCUUCUUCUGCCUUAGUCCUUCUCCCCUUUCGGGUUUUUUGGGGCGGACGUUACAGAAACGCCUUCGGUGUCUGUCGACAGUGCGCUGUGCUAUCUGCGAUGGUCUUCUCUACUGUUUUUGGUUUGCGCUUCGUUGCCUCCGUUCUUCUCGAGGUCGCUUCUAUUAUGUCCCAUCGCCGCGCGAAAUCCCGUAGUCGACCAAAGGAUGCCGCCGAAGCUUCAAGAUCAUGAUAGUAGACCAGUCCCACCUCUUGGACUUUGAUGCCGUCCAGCAAUUUUGUACGCUCAUCCUUGUACAGAGGACAUUCCUAGAGUGUGUGGUGUACGUCUUCCUCAGCGGCAUCGCCGCAGUAGCAUGACCCCACAGCGGUCAAUUUCAUUCUGUGAAGCCUCCCCCUGAAACACCCAUGACCUGUCAAGAUAUGGGGAAUCAGUCUUGAUCCAAGUCGCCUUGAAGCGAAUCUUCAUCUUGGGAAAAACCGGUAUAACUCCCACGGAUCAUGACCCUCCACUAUAUCCCAUGGAUCGACAUGUCCCAACGCUCCUGCCAUGCGGCAAGAGCGGACUCAGCCUCUCUGAGUUUGGCACUCCGUAGCUUCUUCUUCCUGCAGUUACCAACUGCGGACUCGCGCAGAGCACCCAGCCUGCUUGUGCUGAUCACCUCGAAGUCGGCUGGCAGCACACAGGCCCACUCCGUCAGUGCGGGUCGUGCGACACGCCUUGGUUAGAAUAAUUGAAUGAGAAUGAUUACGGAGUAAGAAUGCCUCAAUGUUGUUUUUAAACUAAGCAGCUAGUACUUAUGCUACGAAAAAUGUUGAAAUAAUUAUAUUAAUGGACCUAAAAAACACUAGUUAGUGAUUUUGUAGUUCCAAGUCGCGGAUAUAUAAUGUUGGAUCAAUAAAAAAGCGUUUGUAACAAACACCUUUGUAGCUCCAAAAUUUUUGUAAUUUAUAAAAAAUAACUGAGGUAUUAAAAAUAGAUACGUUUUUAUCGCUCCAAUAAGUGAGAAUAAAAAUGGUCAUAAAUUCCGUUGUGUGGCUGUAGCUCCAACGUACGUCAAACACUCGCGGACGAGGGCACUACUGUCCAAUGAGACGUUGUCGGCCCAAAACCCAUAGAAGAACCGCCAAUAACCACAAAGCCCCCUCAUCUAGUAAAAUUUUGAGAUACUUUCGUGGAUGUUAUUGUUGCCCCAAGUAUAGGCAUGAUUCAGAGACAAUUUGGCAUAGGUACUUCCUCAAUUUUACAGUUUGGCUAUUUUUGACUUUGUUGCACCGAAGGUGCAAUAUAAUAAGUUAGGUUAAGAUCGUUUAC